This 73-nucleotide transfer RNA is filed under the name Myotis brandtii (Brandt's bat). It matches the Rfam family "tRNA". From Rfam's summary of the family: Transfer RNA (tRNA) molecules are approximately 80 nucleotides in length. Their secondary structure includes four short double-helical elements and three loops (D, anti-codon, and T loops). Lineage: Eukaryota; Metazoa; Chordata; Mammalia; Chiroptera; Vespertilionidae. The record is from Rfam by way of RNAcentral.
GCCAGUUUGGCUCAGUGGAUAGAGUGUUGGCCUGCCAGCUAAAGGGUACCGGGUUCGAAUCCGGUCAAGGGCA